This 1243-nucleotide ribosomal RNA is filed under the name metagenome. RNAcentral's name for it is "bacterial LSU rRNA". It matches the Rfam family "Bacterial large subunit ribosomal RNA", at positions 1564 to 2817 of the family's 2925-position model. The record is from RNAcentral.
UGAGUACGGGAUGCUACGGCAUCGAAGCAGUCUAUGUCAUACUUCCAAGAAAAGCUUGCACUGUCAUAAACAAAGAAUGCCUGUACCAUAACCGACACAGGUGGGUAGGUAGAGUAUACUAAGGGGCGCGAGAUAACUCUCUCUAAGGAACUCGGCAAAAUGACUCCGUAACUUCGGGAGAAGGAGUGCCUUAUUUCUAAGGUUGCAAUAACAAGAUCCAAGCAACUGUUUACCAAAAACACAGGUCUCCGCUAAGUCGUAAGACGAUGUAUGGGGGCUGACGCCUGCCCAGUGCCAGAAGGUUAAAGAAGUUGGUUAGCAUUAGCGAAGCUGAUAACUGAAGCCCUGGUGAACGGCGGCCGUAACUAUAACGGUCCUAAGGUAGCGAAAUUCCUUGUCGGGUAAGUUCCGACCCGCACGAAAGGCGUAAUGAUUUGGAUACUGUCUCGGAGAGGGGCUCGGUGAAAUAGACUUGUCUGUGAAGAUGCGGACUACCUGCACCUGGACAGAAAGACCCUAUGAAGCUUUACUGUAACUUGGGAUUGAAAUUGGACUUUAUUUGCGCAGUAUAGGUGGGAGGCGUUGAGAAUAAUCUUGCGGGGUUGUUGGAGCCAUCAGUGAGAUACCACUCUUGUAAUGUUAGAUUUCUAACUUUGUAUCAUUAUCUGGUCAAAGAACAGUUUCAGGCGGGCAGUUUGACUGGGGCGGUCGCCUCCCAAAGGGUAACGGAGGCGCACAAAGGUUUCCUCUGAACGGGUAGAAAUCGUAUCUAGAGUGUAAAGGCAUAAGGAAGCUUGACUGUGAGACCUACAAGUCGAGCAGGGACGAAAGUCGGUCUUAGUGAUCUGACGGUGCUGAGUGGAAAGGCCGUCACUCAACGGAUAAAAGUUACACUAGGAUAACAGGCUGAUCUCCCCCAAGAGUUCACAUCGACGGGGAGGUUUGGCACCUCGAUGUCGGCUCAUCGCAUCCUGGGGCGGUAGUCCGUCCCAAGGGUUGGGCUGUUCGCCCAUGAAAGCGGUACGCGAGCUGGGUUCAGAACGUCGUGAGACAGUUCGGUCCAUAUCCGGUGUAGGCGUUAGAAUAUUGAGAGGAGUCUUCUCUAGUACGAGAGGACCGAGAAGGACAUACCUCUGGUGUGCCAGUUAUCGUGCCAACGGUAAACGCUGGGUAGCUAUGUAUGGAGUGGAUAACCGCUGAAAGCAUCUAAGUGGGAAGCCCACCUCAAGAUAAGUAUUCUCAC